This 842-nucleotide ribosomal RNA is filed under the name uncultured organism. RNAcentral's name for it is "bacterial SSU rRNA". It matches the Rfam family "Bacterial small subunit ribosomal RNA", at positions 40 to 859 of the family's 1533-position model. The record is from RNAcentral.
CGGCGCGCUUACACAUGCAAGUCGAACGCGAAAGGCCCUUCGGGGCCGAGUAGAGUGGCGCACGGGUGAGUAACACGUGAGUAACCUACCCUCGAGCUCGGGAUAACCUGCCGAAAGGCGGGCUAAUACCGGAUGAGACCACGGCUUCCGAGGAAGCAGUGAGAAAAGCCGGGGACCGGAAACGACCUGGCACUCGAGGAUGGGCUCGCGGCCUAUCAGCUUGUUGGUGGGGUAAUGGCCCACCAAGGCGAAGACGGGCAGCUGGUCUGAGAGGAUGAUCAGCCACACUGGAACUGGGACACGGUCCAGACUCCUACGGGAGGCAGCAGUGGGGAAUUUUGCGCAAUGGGCGAAAGCCUGACGCAGCGACGCCGCGUGUGCGAUGAAGGCCUUUGGGUCGUAAAGCACUGUCGAGCGGGAAGAAAACCUUCCGGUUAAUACCCGGGAGGCUUGACGGUACCGCUAAAGGAAGCACCGGCUAACUCUGUGCCAGCAGCCGCGGUAAUACAGAGGGUGCAAACGUUGCUCGGAAUUACUGGGCGUAAAGAGCGUGUAGGCGGUCUGUUAAGUCGGCUGUGAAAGCCCAUGGCUCAACCAUGGAAGUGCAGUCGAUACUGGCGGGCUAGAGUCCCGGAGAGGGUGGUGGAAUUCCCAGUGUAGAGGUGAAAUUCGUAGAUAUUGGGAGGAACACCGGUGGCGAAGGCGACCACCUGGACGGGUACUGACGCUGAGACGCGAAAGCGUGGGGAGCAAACAGGAUUAGAUACCCUGGUAGUCCACGCCGUAAACGAUGAGCACUAGGUGUUGCGGGUAUUGACCCCUGCAGUGCCGACGCUAACGCA